This 301-nucleotide ribosomal RNA is filed under the name uncultured bacterium. Its description in RNAcentral is "partial 16S ribosomal RNA". It matches the Rfam family "Bacterial small subunit ribosomal RNA", at positions 509 to 808 of the family's 1533-position model. The record is from RNAcentral.
CAGCGCCACGGUAAUACGUAGGGUGCGAGCGUUAGUCGGAAUUACUGGGCGUAAAGCGUGCGCAGGCGGUCGUGUAAGACAGGUGUGAAAUCCCCGGGCUUAACCUGGGAACUGCAUUUGUGACUGGCGAGCUAGAGUAUGGCAGAGGGGGGUAGAAUUCCACGUGUAGCAGUGAAAUGCGUAGAGAUGUGGAGGAAUACCGAUGGCGAAGGCAGCCCCCUGGGCCAAUACUGACGCUCAUGCACGAAAGCGUGGGGAGCAAACAGGAUUAGAUACCCCCGUAGUCCCUGUCUCUUAUACA